AGCGGCGGAUGGGUGAGUAACACGUGGGGAACCUGCCCCUAAGUCUGGGAUACCAUUUGGAAACAGGUGCUAAUACCGGAUAAUAAAGCAGAUCGCAUGAUCAGCUUUUGAAAGGCGGCGUAAGCUGUCGCUAAGGGAUGGCCCCGCGGUGCAUUAGCUAGUUGGUAAGGUAACGGCUUACCAAGGCGACGAUGCAUAGCCGAGUUGAGAGACUGAUCGGCCACAUUGGGACUGAGACACGGCCCAAACUCCUACGGGAGGCAGCAGUAGGGAAUCUUCCACAAUGGACGCAAGUCUGAUGGAGCAACGCCGCGUGAGUGAAGAAGGUUUUCGGAUCGUAAAGCUCUGUUGUUGGUGAAGAAGGAUAGAGGUAGUAACUGGCCUUUAUUUGACGGUAAUCAACCAGAAAGUCACGGCUAACUACGUGCCAGCAGCCGCGGUAAUACGUAGGUGGCUAGCGUUGUCCGGAUUUAUUGGGCGUAAAGCGAGCGCAGGCGGAAAAAUAAGUCUAAUGUGAAAGCCCUCGGCUUAACCGAGGAACUGCAUCGGAAACUGUUUUUCUUGAGUGCAGAAGAGGAGAGUGGAACUCCAUGUGUAGCGGUGGAAUGCGUAGAUAUAUGGAAGAACACCAGUGGCGAAAGCGGCUCUCUGGUCUGCAACUGACGCUGAGGCUCGAAAGCAUGGGUAGCGAACAGGAUUAGAUACCCUGGUAGUCCAUGCCGUAAACGUUGAGUGCUAAGUGU
This 743-nucleotide ribosomal RNA is filed under the name uncultured bacterium. RNAcentral describes it as "bacterial SSU rRNA". It matches the Rfam family "Bacterial small subunit ribosomal RNA", at positions 94 to 823 of the family's 1533-position model. The record is from RNAcentral.